AUAAGAGUAUAUGGGGGAUGCCUUGAUUGAUAAGAGCGAAGAAGGACGUAGUAAUGCUGCGAUAAGCUUCGGGGAGUUGCAUAACAAACGUUAUCACCCGGAGAUUUCCGAAUGGGGAAACCCGAUAGAGUAAACCUCUAUCAUCUUUCACACAUAAGAGGUGGAAGAAGCGCACCUAGGGAAGUGAAACAUCUCAGUACCUAGAGGAAUAGAAACUAAACCAAGUAUUCCGCAAGUAGCGGCGAGCGAAAACGGAGAAGCCCAAACCCAGGAGUAUUUUAUUUUUGGGGGUUGUAGGAUAUAGAAGUCUUAACGAGUAGAGUCAAAAAUUAUAAUGUUAGAAGAAUUAGCUGGGAAGCUAAACCAAAGAGGGUGAUAGUCCCGUAAACGAAAACUUUAUAACUCUAUUUUCUAUAUUCCUGAGUAGUCCAGGACAUCAAAAGCCGGGAUGAAUCUAGCAGGACUAACUGCUAAGGCUAAAUAUCUUAUCAAAUCGAUAGUGAACUAGUACCGUGAGGGAAAGGUGAAAAGAACCCCGAAAGGGGAGUGAAAUAGAUCUGAAACCAUAUACUUACAAGGAGUCGGAGCGGUUGCUUGCAACCGUCACGGCGUGCCUAUUGAAGAAUGAGCCAACGAGUUAAUAUAUGUAGCUGCUUAAACGACUUUGUCGUGGAGGCAUAGGGAAACCGAGUGUGAAAGCGCGAAAUUAUAGUUUCAUGUAUUAGACCCGAAGCUGAGUGAGCUUACCAUGAGCAGGUUGAACAUUAUCGAAAGAUGAUGGGAGGACCGAACCCACGCGCGGGCAACACGCGGGGAUGACUUGUGGUAAGGAGUGAAAAGCUAAUCGAACUCAGUAAUAGCUGGUUCUCUCCGAAACAGUUUUAGGACUGGCGUUAGAUGUUCCCGUUGGGGGUAGAGCACUGGAACGGAAUGAUAGGGGGAAACCUCGCAUUCUGUAUCAAACUUCGAAUACCAACGAUUAAUAAUCUAGCAGUUAGACUCAGGGGGCGAAGCUCCUGUGGUCGAAAGGGAAACAGCCCAGACCUAUACCUAAGGUCCCUAAAUUUAUACUAAGUGCACUUAAGGUGGUUUUGUCUCUUGUACAUCCAGGAGGUUGGCUUAGAAGCAGCCAUCCUUUAAAGAUAGCGUAACAGCUCACUGGCCUAGAGACUUAGCGCCGCAAAUGAUCGGGGCUCAAGUAUAAUACCGAAGGUUAGGAUUCACACAUUAGUGUGAGUGGUAGGAGAGUGUUCUAUUCGCGAUGAAGCUCAAGGCGUAAGCCAGGGUGGAGCGUAUAGAAGUAAGAAUGUUGGCACGAGUAACCACAAGGAGGGUGAGAACCCCUCCCGCCGAAAUACCAAGGUUUCCUCUGCAAUGCUUGUCAGCGGAGGGUUAGUCGGUUCCUAAGUCAAUGACGAAAGUUGAAGACGAUGGACAUAAGGUUAAUAUUCCUUAACUUCUAGGUUGUGCGAUGGAGUGACGGAGAACAUAAGCUAAAGCGUGUCCAUGGACAUGAUGCGUUUCUGAUAAUAAGUCUAGUAUCUUAGGAAAAUCCGGGAUACAUUAAUAGGCGUUUAUUGGAUGAAUAUAACUUUACGGAGUUAUAGACUUUAGUGAAGAGUCUUCCAAGAAAAACUUCUAAGCUUAACUUCCUAGAAACCGUACCAGAAACCAACACAGGUGGUAAGGUCGAGUAGACCAAGGCGAACGAGUGAGCAAUCCUCAAGGAACUCGGCAAAAUAGCGACCGUAACUUCGGAAUAAGGUCCCCCUAACUCUCUUCGGAGAGAAGGGCGCAGCGAAAGACACCCUGCCAACUGUUUAUCAAAAACACAGCUCCGUGCUAACUCGUAAGAGGAUGUAUACGGGGUGACGCCUGACCAAUGCCGGAAGGUUAAAUAUUGGCGGUGCUUAAAUUUUUAAUUUGAGUGCUGACUGAUAUAAGCCCCGGUCAAUGUCGGCCGUAACUAUAACGGUCCUAAGGUAGCGAAAUUCCUUGUCUGGUAAGUUCAGACGUGCACGAAUGGCGUAAUGAGUGGGGUACUGUCUCGAGGAUUAGCUCGGUGAAAAUGCAAUACCGGUGAAGACGCCGGUUACCUGCAGUGGGACGAAAAGACCCCAGGAGCUUUACUAUAGCUUGGUAUUGGAUUUAUGUAGGUACUGCGCAGAAUAGAUGGGAGGCUUUGAUCAUACGAUUUUGGUUGUAUGUGAGCCAACAGUGAGAUACCAUCCUUUAUUUGUGUAAAUCCUAACCUGCAAGGGAAAAACUUGCGGGAACAGUAUCUGGCGGGUAGUUUGAGUGGGGCGCUCCCCUCCUAAAAAGUAACGGAGGGGCCUAAAGGUCAGUUAGACGCGAAUGGAAACCGUGUCGAUAGUGUAAUGGCAUAAACUGGCUUUACUGCGAGGAGUACAUUCCAAGCAGUCGCGAAAGCGGAGCAUAGUGAACCGACAGUUGGUAUUAGAUACUGCUGGAGAUUAACGGAUAAAAGCUACCCUGGGGAUAACAGGCUGGUAUCGCCUAAGCGUCCAGAGCGACGGCGAUGUUCGGCACCUCGAUGUCGGCUCAUCCUAUCCUGGGGCUGGAGAAGGUCCCAAGGGUUUGGCUGUUCGCCAAUUAAAAGGGUACGCGAGCUGGGUUCAGACCGUCCAGAAUUUAAUUUAGAAUUUUUCAGAAAUGGAAAUUAAGUUUUGGACUAAUCUGAACAGUCGAGAGUUAUCAUUAAUUUGAUAAACCUUAACACCAAAUUAUUUAUAUUUAUAUAAAUAAUCGCAUUUUAAGAGAACAUACAAUCUUUGGAUACAAAGAAGAAAAGUCCUGUGUGAAGAAAUAUCACAUAGGCAAAAAACAUAUUAUUGGUCUUUUCGUUUUAAAUACACAAGCAAAAUAUUUGGAUUUAUUCCAUUAUUUGUAUUUGUAGUAAUCAACUCAC
RNAcentral lists this ribosomal RNA (2929 nucleotides) under sediment metagenome. RNAcentral's name for it is "bacterial LSU rRNA". It matches the Rfam family "Bacterial large subunit ribosomal RNA". The record is from RNAcentral.